CAGAUAUUUUCUAUCUAUCCUCGUCACGUUCUUAUCUGCUUCUUCUCUAUCCUUUCCUUUACAUAUCUGAAUGAUUAUUAUCAUCACAUUUUGGCACAACAUAAUCCCAAUCCCCUCACCUCUCGACCCAUUCUCUCUUCUCACCACCAACAUCACCAUUCUUCUUCGUUUUUGUCUCUUCUUGGCAGCAAGCAUCACCGUCAUCUUUCUUUCCCUUGGCAGUCCACGCACACUUCUUCUACAAAUCACGUUUUUCUUAUCCUUUCUUCUUCUUCAUUACUUUUCUUUUCUCCAUGGCUGGCCAAACGCACCACAACCCUCUGUCCUUCUUCCUCACGUAGCUCCCUUGGACAGCCACAGUAACCAUAAUCUCUGUGCACUUAUAUGGGUACAAGUAACGGAAGCGCUUGGCGACGAAGCCAAAGGACAAAAAGAAGCGAGCUGACACGGGAAAGCAAGGAUGUGUUUGGAUUAGAGUUGCAGUUUAGGAAAGAAAUUGACUAAGGCGAUGAAGAAUCUUCAAUGGAGCUUGACCUUCGUACGAGUCGGAGAGGAGAACUUAAAGAAUUGUGGAAGACUUGAAGAAUAGAGUCGGGUGUAGAGUUAGAGCCUUGAAUUAGAGAGCUAACCAUUAUUGGUUUAAGCUUGCCUAACGAUUUUAGAAAUUUAUAUUUGGGGUUUCGGGUACUCACCUUGUUCAAGGCUUGAUGUAAAUCCCUUUGUAGUUGGGAGUAUGCAUGACAUGUUUUGGAAAUACAUUUGAAAAAAAAAAUAUACUCGUGUUUAUACA
Molecule: long non-coding RNA, 790 nt
Organism: Lotus japonicus
Lineage: Eukaryota; Viridiplantae; Streptophyta; Magnoliopsida; Fabales; Fabaceae
Exons: 3
Source: RefSeq, a predicted model, not a curated record